UGGCCCAUGGUGUAAUUGGUAACACGUCUGCUUUUGGUGCAGAAGAGCCUAGGUUCGAUCCCUAGUGGGCCAACGA
Molecule: transfer RNA, 76 nt
Filed under: Flavobacterium sp.
Lineage: Bacteria; Pseudomonadati; Bacteroidota; Flavobacteriia; Flavobacteriales; Flavobacteriaceae
Description: tRNA-Gln
Rfam family: tRNA
About the family: Transfer RNA (tRNA) molecules are approximately 80 nucleotides in length.
Source: RNAcentral